RNAcentral lists this small RNA (142 nucleotides) under Flavobacterium sp. 1. Its description in RNAcentral is "Flavo-1 RNA". The record is from RNAcentral. Lineage: Bacteria; Pseudomonadati; Bacteroidota; Flavobacteriia; Flavobacteriales; Flavobacteriaceae.
UUUUGCUCCAGAUAAAAGCGACAGCCCCGAGAAUUGGAACUCUAAUUUUUACAGUCGGUACAGAGCGACCAGCGGAAGUUCCUAGAACGGCUAGUAAAAAAAGAGUUCCAAUCGAGGGCUAUAGCGGAUAGCUGGAUUAGGC